This 468-nucleotide ribosomal RNA is filed under the name uncultured bacterium. Its description in RNAcentral is "partial 16S ribosomal RNA". It matches the Rfam family "Bacterial small subunit ribosomal RNA", at positions 28 to 507 of the family's 1533-position model. The record is from RNAcentral.
GACGAACGCUGGCGGCGUGCUUAACACAUGCAAGUCGAACGGAAAGGCCCUGCUUUUGUGGGGUGCUCGAGUGGCGAACGGGUGAGUAACACGUGAGUAACCUGCCCCUGACUUUGGGAUAACUUCAGGAAACUGGGGCUAAUACCGGAUAGGAGUUCCUGCUGCAUGGUGGGGGUUGGAAAGUUUCGGCGGUUGGGGAUGGACUCGCGGCGUAUCAGCUUGUUGGUGGGGUAGUGGCUUACCAAGGCUUUGACGGGUAGCCGGGCUGGGAGGGUGACCGGCCACAUUGGGACUGGACUGCGGCCCAGACUCCUACGGGAGGCAGCGGUGGGGAAUAUUGCACAAUGGGCGGAAGCCUGAUGCAGCAACGCCGCGUGCGGGAUGACGGCCAUCGGGUUGUAAACCGCUUUCGCCUGUGACGAAGCGUGAGUGACGGUAAUGGGUAAAGAAGCACCGGCUAACUACGUG